Molecule: ribosomal RNA, 460 nt
Filed under: uncultured bacterium
Lineage: Bacteria
Description: partial 16S ribosomal RNA
Rfam family: Bacterial small subunit ribosomal RNA
Source: RNAcentral
CCUACGGGAGGCAGCAGUGAGGAAUAUUGGUCAAUGGGCGCGAGCCUGAACCAGCCAAGUAGCGUGAAGGAUGACUGCCCUACGGGUUGUAAACUUCUUUUAUAAAGGAAUAAAGUGAGGCACGUGUGCCUUUUUGUAUGUACUUUAUGAAUAAGGAUCGGCUAACUCCGUGCCAGCAGCCGCGGUAAUACGGAGGAUCCGAGCGUUAUCCGGAUUCAUUGGGCGUAAAGAGUUCGUAGGUGGCACGUAAAGUCUGGUGUUAAAGGCAGAGGCUCAACUUCUGAACGGCACUGGAUACUUGCGAGCUAGAGUGCGGUAGAGGUAAAGGGAAUUCCUGGUGUAGCGGUGAAAUGCUUAGAUAUCAGGAGGAACAUCGAUUGCGUAAGCGCUUCACUGGGCCGUAAUUGACGCUGAGGAACGAAAGCCAGGGUAGCAAAUAGGAUUAGAUACCCUGGUAGUC